RNAcentral lists this ribosomal RNA (408 nucleotides) under Klebsiella pneumoniae. RNAcentral describes it as "bacterial SSU rRNA". It matches the Rfam family "Bacterial small subunit ribosomal RNA", at positions 602 to 1009 of the family's 1533-position model. Lineage: Bacteria; Pseudomonadati; Pseudomonadota; Gammaproteobacteria; Enterobacterales; Enterobacteriaceae. RNAcentral also lists the same sequence under 1 other name. The record is from RNAcentral.
CCCGGGCUCAACCUGGGAACUGCAUUCGAAACUGGCAGGCUAGAGUCUUGUAGAGGGGGGUAGAAUUCCAGGUGUAGCGGUGAAAUGCGUAGAGAUCUGGAGGAAUACCGGUGGCGAAGGCGGCCCCCUGGACAAAGACUGACGCUCAGGUGCGAAAGCGUGGGGAGCAAACAGGAUUAGAUACCCUGGUAGUCCACGCCGUAAACGAUGUCGAUUUGGAGGUUGUGCCCUUGAGGCGUGGCUUCCGGAGCUAACGCGUUAAAUCGACCGCCUGGGGAGUACGGCCGCAAGGUUAAAACUCAAAUGAAUUGACGGGGGCCCGCACAAGCGGUGGAGCAUGUGGUUUAAUUCGAUGCAACGCGAAGAACCUUACCUGGUCUUGACAUCCACAGAACUUUCCAGAGAUGG